CUUUUUGAGUAUAAUUUAAGGUCUGGCCUGCCCAAUGAAUUUUAAAUGGCCGCAGUAUCCUGACUGUGCAAAGGUAGCAUAAUCAUUAGUUUUUUAAUUGAAAGCUGGAANGAAAGGUCGGAUGAGAAMAUAGCUGUCUCUAUAAAAAUUAAUUAGAAUUUUAUUUUUAAGUUAAAAAGCUUAAAUUUAUAUAGAAGACGAGAAGACCCUAUAGAGUUUUAUAAAAAAUUAAAUUAAGGCUUAUUAGUAUUUUAACAGGUUAAUUUAAUGGCUUAUUUGGUUGGGGUGAUUAAAAAAUUAAAUAAACUUUUUUUUUAUUACUACAUUUAUUUAUGAAUAUUUGAUCCUUAAUUAAAGAUUAUAAGAUUAAAUUACCUUAGGGAUAACAGCGUAAUUUUUUUUGAGAGUUCAUAUCGAAAAGAAAGAUUGCGACCUCGAUGUUGGAUUAAAAUAAAUAUUUGGUGUAGAAGCUAAA
Molecule: ribosomal RNA, 475 nt
Filed under: Micrelus ericae
Lineage: Eukaryota; Metazoa; Arthropoda; Insecta; Coleoptera; Curculionidae
Description: partial 16S ribosomal RNA
Rfam family: Bacterial large subunit ribosomal RNA
Source: RNAcentral